This 756-nucleotide ribosomal RNA is filed under the name uncultured bacterium. Its description in RNAcentral is "bacterial SSU rRNA". It matches the Rfam family "Bacterial small subunit ribosomal RNA", at positions 62 to 797 of the family's 1533-position model. The record is from RNAcentral.
UCGAACGCGAAAGGGGCUUCGGCCCUGAGUAGAGUGGCGAACGGGUGAGUAACACGUGGGUGAUCUACCUCUGAGUGGGGGAUAACGUUCCGAAAGGAGCGCUAAUACCGCAUGACGUCCUGGGUUCGAAGACCUGGAAACCAAAGUCGGGGACCGCAAGGCCUGACGCUUGGAGAGGAGCCCGCGCCUGAUUAGCUAGUUGGUGAGGUAACGGCUCACCAAGGCGACGAUCAGUAGCCGGCCUGAGAGGGCGGACGGCCACACUGGGACUGAGACACGGCCCAGACUCCUACGGGAGGCAGCAGUGGGGAAUUGUUCGCAAUGGGCGCAAGCCUGACGACGCAACGCCGCGUGGAGGAUGAAGGUCUUCGGAUUGUAAACUCCUGUUGACCGGGAAGAAUGAGCUCCGACCUAACACGUCGGGGCAAUGACGGUACCGGUUGAGGAAGCCACGGCUAACUCUGUGCCAGCAGCCGCGGUAAUACAGAGGUGGCAAGCGUUGUUCGGAAUUACUGGGCGUAAAGGGCGCGUAGGCGGUCGCCUAAGUCGGACGUGAAAUCCCCAAGCUUAACUUGGGAACUGCGUCCGAUACUGGGCAACUUGAGUUCGGGAGAGGAAUGUGGAAUUCCAGGUGUAGCGGUGAAAUGCGUAGAUAUCUGGAGGAACACCGGUGGCGAAGGCGGCAUUCUGGACCGAAACUGACGCUGAGGCGCGAAAGCCAGGGGAGCAAACGGGAUUAGAUACCCCGGUAGUCCU